GAAAACUAAGUCCAUAAAAACUCAGCAAAGGGGCACCACGAGCCUUCCACUUUAACACAAUCUGCCAAUCUGAAGCCAUCAGAUCCGGGAAGGGAUGUAGGUCGUAAUGUCCUUUGCCAUCCCUGCGAGGGACAGAGCUGGGCGAGGAAAGAUUCCAGAUCAGCUUGGAAGUGUCUCCUGGCUGCCUACAGACACCCGGGUAUCGCAAGGCGCCCAGAUGCUCUGGGGCUGUCAUUGACAGCUAGGCUUUCUCUUGUGACCGCGGCAGCUCCCGAGCACUCGCAGGCCUCACACGCAGCCUAAGAGUGCGGAGUGAAGCUCGCUAUGCUUCGCGCGUGCGCCUUCCUGGGCCGGGGUGACCCGGAAGCACUAGCUCGUAAGUUGCCGGGAUGCUGUGAGCACGGGGACUUAUGAGCAGGUCGCGUCACUGCAGCUGCGAGCGCUGCGUUUCGGAUUUCGGCAAUAGCUUCCGACCCCGGGCUUGAGUCCUAAGCUGCGGACUCGCCUCCCCAGUGGGCAUCUCGCAGGCCAGCCAGAUGCUGCUUUGGGGCGGAGUUGGACUUUUUAUUUUUUUGUUGUUGUUGACGCUUAUUAUCUUUUGGAAAAACAGGCAUAGAUCCCCAUUCUCGGGACUUCCCAGAUGUUGCUGCAACUGGGGGAUUAGAGGAAUGGUGCACCCUGGGACCCAGGUGGUGCCUUCGAAGUCCAGGGUGUUCCUCGAUUUUAACCAGGGAAUUACCGAAAUGGAGGGUUUUUUCCCCACUGGGGCAUUUGGCUUUUCAGAUUUUGUAAACCUGCUUUCCCUUGUUCCUCCCACCAACAAAUUAUAUAUAUUAUUUAUAUGUUAUAUAUAACGUAUUACAUAUAUGUAUUAUAUAUAUGAUUACACAUAAUAUGUAUCAUUAUAGGAAGAGUAGAAAUAACUGGAUUUUAAAGUCACCCACAAUCCUGUGUCCAAAAAGACAAUAUUAAAUUUUGGUUUUACAUUUUAUUUUCUAGUAUCUUAUUUUUGCAUGUGUGUAUAUGCGGGGUUUUCUUUAAAAAAAAAAAAAACAAAUUAGGCCGGGUGCGGCGGCUCACGCCUGUAAUCUCACCACUUUGGGAGGCCAAGGUGGGUGGAUCACCUGAGGUCAGGAGUUCGAGACCAGCCUGGCCAACAUGGUGAAACCCUGUCUGUACCAAAAAUACAAAAAAUUAGCCAGGUGUGGUGGCAGGCGCCUGUAAUCCCAGCUCCUCGGGAGGCUGAGGCAGGAGAAUCGCUUGAACCCGGAAGGCAGAGGUUGCAGUGAGCCAAGAUCACGCCACUGCACUCUAACCUGGGUGACACAGCGAGACUCCUUCUAAAAAAAGAAAAGGUGCAGCAAUGACUAGCCUUGUGCAUUCAUUUUUCUCCCCCCCAUCUUUAACACUUAUUUCUUUAACAGAAUUAUGGAGCGACUAUAAUUGAAGAUGGAAGUUUCGUGGGAAGGGAUAUUCAACAUAGUUAACAACCAAUAUGACCUGAUCACCAUCCAUUGGAAUAGCCAUAUGUCUAGGGCUGGAAUGGGGUUUUAGAAGCCUGAUAAAUCAGCAAUUCACACUUUAGCCAGGAAUCAGGGGGAGGUCAGAAACAUCCUAGGGAAAUGGGAAGGGCAAUGAAAGAACAUUUCAGAGGGUAUCAGAGAAUUUUACUAUUCUAACACCCAUUUAGUUAAACGUGUAUAAUAAUCAUCAGCCCAAUUUGUAUGUUUGCUAUUGAAAAGAUAAGGAUUAUAAUCUGAUUAUCUUGUCCUCUUGUGUCCAGAAUUGGUGGGUUCUUGGUCUCACUGACUUCAAGAAUGAAGCCUCGGACCCUCAUGGUGAGUGUUACAGCUCUUAAGAUGGCACGUCUGGAGUUUGUUCCUUCUGAUGUUUGGAUGUGUUGAGAGUUUCUUCCUCCUGGUGGGCUCGUGGUCUCGCUGGCUCAAGAGUGAAGCUGCAGACCUUCGCAGUGAGUGUUACAGCUCUUAAGGCAGUGUGUCUGGAGUUGUUCGUUCCUCCUGGUGGGCUCCUGGUCUUGCUGGCUUCAGGAGUGAAGCUGCAGACUUUCGUGGUGAGUGUUACAGCUCAUAAAAGCAGUGUGGACCCAAAGAGUGAGCAGUAGCAAGAUUUAUUGCAAACAGAAAAAAAAACAAAGCUUCUACAGUAUGUAAAGGAACCAGAGCAGGUUGUCACUGCUUGCUCGGGCAGCCUGCUUUUAUUCUCUUAUCUGGCCCCACCCACAUCCUGCUGAUUGGUCCAUUUUACAGAGAGCUGAGUGGUCUGUUUUGACAGGGUGCUGAUUGGUGCAUUUACAAUCCCUGAGCUAGACACAAAGUUUCUCCACCUCCCCACUAGAUUAGCUAGGUACAUCCACACAAAGGUUCUCCAAGUCCCCCUGAGCUAGACAUAAAGGUUCUCCGCGUCCCCACCAGACUCAGGAGCCCAGCGGGCUUCAUCCAGUGGAUCCCGUACCCGGGUUGCAGGUGGAGCUGCUUGCCAGUCCCCCGCCGUGUGCCCGCACUCCUCAGCCCUUGGGUGGUCGAUGGGACUGGGAGCCGUGGAGUAGGGGGUGGCGCUUGUCGGGGAGGCUCAGGCUGCACAGGAGCCACGGAAGCGGGGAGGGGAGGCUCAGGCAUGGCGGGCUGCAGGUCCCGCGCCUUGCCCCGCGGGAAGGCAGCUAAGGCCCGGCGAGAAAUUGAGCACAGCAGCUGCUGGCCCAGGUGCUAAGCCCCUCACUGCCCCGGGCCGGCGGGGCGGGCAGGCAGGCCGCUCAGAGCGCAGGGUCCGCCGAGCCCACGCCCACCCGGAACUCACGCUGGUCCGCAAGCACCGCGCGCAGCCCGGGUUCCCGCCUGCGCCUCUCCCUCCACACCUCCCCGCAAGCUGAGGGAGCGGGCUCCGGCCUUGGCCAGCCCAGAAAGGGGCUCCCACAGUGCAGCGGCGGGCUGAAGGGCUCCACAAGUGCUGCCAAAGUGGGACCCCAGGCAGAGGAGGCGCCGAGAGCGAGCCAGGGCUGUGAGGACUGCCAGCACGCUGUCACCUCUCACUGUGAAAUUGGAGGAAAACUCAUCUGUUGAAGUCAAGGAGGAAGGUAGAAUGAUCAGAGUUUUGAAGAAGUGUUCAAAUAAUUAAUUGCUGGGAGUCCUAAGACAUUACGGAAGUAUGGUACAUUUGUUGGGCUGUAUUGAAGACACAACUAAGGUAUGGGAUAAUUAAUUCUUAGUGGUCUAAAGCUUGUGUUGACUAAAUUGUUUGUUUUCCAGGUAGUGUUCAACUUUUCUCUGGAAAAAAAAAAGCUGAAAACAAAUAAUUGGCUUUGUGUAGUGUUUGGUUUCUCCAGAUGAAUAGGCUGAAAGAGCAGAUGUACAAGAGACUUCGUGGUAUUGGCAAGAGAGUGAUUGACACAAAAGAUCAUGAACUCUAAAGUGAACAAUGAAGAGAGUAAAGAGAAAAGAGUCCUUAAAGUUAGCGAGAAAAUAUAAGGGCCAAUGCAAGGUUAAGAUUUCCUUGAAGAAUGUCUAGGUGGAAACAGUUAAAUGAGGAAUCUGGCAAGAGAGAUUGUGACCCAAGAGUGGGGUGAAAUUGGGAAAAUUUAAGUAUUAAUAUCAGGAUGUGACUGUGGUGUGGUAGAUGAAGUGGAAUGGAGGAAAAGGAUAUGAGAGAUGAAGAUUUUUAUAACUGAGAGGCCAAGCAAUGGACAGAUAUGCCACAUGAACCUAAUUAGGACUUUAAAAAGACCAUCCAGGAUGAUGUUUGGAAUGAGGGUGGAGAGCCAAGUGCUAAGUCUUUAGAGACUAAAAGGGAGUGACCAGGAGGCUGGUAAGAGGACAGAUGUCAGAAGGUGUAUUCUGUUGACAGCAGCCCAAAAACAAUGAUUUAUUGUUUUAAGGAAAGUGGAAGCAAAGAAGAUCCUAUUCUUAUCUGCAGACCCCUGAGGUAGGUAGGAUUUUAGACAAUAAACAGCACUCAUGAGAGGCUGCUAUGGAAGCACUGUCAUUAGCCAAACUGUAAACACGUGUUGAGGGUGAAUAUUGGCUCAUCACCGAAGCUGCAAUUCCAAAGAAUAUGUGGGAAGAAAGGGCUUUGUAGGGCACAUAGGAGUAGGGGUUAGACCAGCAAGAAAGGACACAGUUUUUUUUUGUUUGUUUGUUUUUUUGAGAGGGAGUCUCGCUCUGUCGCCCAGGCUGGAGUGCAGUGGUGCGAUCUCGGCUCACUGCAAGCUCCACCUCCCGGGUUCACACCAUUCUUCUGCCUCAGCCUCCGGAGUAGCUGGGACUACAGGCGUCCACCACCACGCCCGGCUAAUUUUUUGUAUUUUUAGUAGAGACGGGGUUUCACCGUGUUAGCCAGGAUGGUCUUGAUCUCCUGACCUCGUGAUCCACCCGCCUCGGCCUCCCAAAGUGCUGGGAUUACAGGCAUGAGCCACCGUGGAAAGGACACAGUUUUAUGUGGUAAGGAAAUAAUAUAUACAUGUGUCUGUAUCUCCUUCCUGCCUUCUUGACUUCCUGAGUCCAGACUCAGUAUUACAGUUUCCUUCUAGAUUCCGGAAGUCUGUUUUUCAUCAGUUUUAAUUUUAGUUGUGUUGUUUUUGUCGUCUUCAAUGUUUUCAUCAAUUUUUUUGUGUGUAUGUGAAUUUGAGAGGGGCUGCUAGCAGAUGCUAUUUUGAACUG
RNAcentral lists this long non-coding RNA (4670 nucleotides) under Homo sapiens (human). RNAcentral's name for it is "non-protein coding lnc-RWDD2B-3:1". Lineage: Eukaryota; Metazoa; Chordata; Mammalia; Primates; Hominidae. The record is from RNAcentral.